UUUUCUAAUAUUGAAUUAUAUUCAGAUGCCAUAGCUUCUGCUCAGCGCGGAUCGUCCCUGGCUUCCGCAUAUGUUAUUGGUUCUCCGCCUUCUUCAACAAUACCUAUAAAAUUUUCCAAAUAAUCAUUGAGACGGUAAUCCGCAUGGGUGCAUGGCGCGCUGCGGUGUCGGGUAGAGCGGCAAAUGGUUGUUUCUGGCUUCGUAAUCUCCGGUGGAUUUGAUGAGAUCGUGAGGUGCGAAUGAAUAAUUACUGGUUGGGUCGUAGAUGUUAUCUCUGAGCUCGGGUCUACGACAGUCGUGGUGGUCAAUGUCAGAGAUAAUUCGGGAAGAGUAUGGUUGUCGUCAUCCGGAUUUGGAGUUGUAGCUUUUGGAGUGGGUAGAUCAAGAGGUAGUCCAGAUAUGGUGUUGUUUGAGUGCAGCACGCGUGGGAGUUGCAUCGGUCCAGCUUUUUCCAAGAUUUGGAUGUCCUUUGAUAUGACAAUUUUUCAUGUAUGAGGGUCAUAACACCGGAAUUCUUUCACUUGGUGAUCGAAGCUUAGUAAUAGAUUUAGUUGGGAGCGCGGAGACAGUUCAUUAAGAUUGGGAUGAGUGUAUAGCAUGUACACAGGAGAACCAAAAGUACAAAAAUCUGAGACGUCCGGUUUCACGCCUGUAAAAAGCUCAUUUGGUGUUUUAUCGGGGUAGUCCUUACUUGAUCGCACAUUCAUAAUGUUGCACGCUGCGCGAACCGCUUCUGCCCAGAAUUCUCUGGGUAGAUCGCUAUUGACCAUGAGACAACAGACUAUGAAAUACACCCAAGUGCAACAUGAGAAGUCGUCUACUAUGAGCUGGAAAUAUAGUGUGCCCCCAAGAGACCGCAUCUGGAAAGGUCCUGCGAUAUUAGAAUGAACUAAUUCGAGGGUUUUUUCGGUGUGAGAGGUUCUGAGUUUUGGUAGGUUCCGCCUGGUCUGUUUUCCCUUCAAACAGCUUUUGCACACGCUAUUGGUAAUUAUGAGAUUGGGUAGGCCUUGGACAGCACCUGAGUUGAUCAUCCGCCUUGUGCGUUGAUAAUUGUAGUGUCCCAAACGUUUGUGCUAGACUGCGGCUUCAGAGAGUAAAUUGUUGGUGUAGGCUAGAGUAGGUUGUAUUGAGCAUGUCAAGACUUCUGAACAAUUGUGAAGGGUCUCGUUGCUCAACCUGUAGAGACCAUUGUGGGUCUACUAUGAGCUGGAAAUAUAGCGAGACGUCUCGCAUUGCAAUAGCCACUAUCUUGUGUAAUCUGUCUGGGAUUUUUGCGCCGU
This is a non-coding RNA of Physcomitrium patens, 1280 nucleotides long. The record is from RefSeq and is a predicted model, not a curated record. Lineage: Eukaryota; Viridiplantae; Streptophyta; Bryopsida; Funariales; Funariaceae.